AGAGUUUGAUCAUGGCUCAGAGCGAACGCUGGCGGCAGGCUUAACACAUGCAAGUCGAGCGGGCAUAGCAAUAUGUCAGCGGCAGACGGGUGAGUAACGCGUGGGAACGUACCUUUUGGUUCGGAACAACACAGGGAAACUUGUGCUAAUACCGGAUAAGCCCUUACGGGGAAAGAUUUAUCGCCGAAAGAUCGGCCCGCGUCUGAUUAGCUAGUUGGUGAGGUAACGGCUCACCAAGGCGACGAUCAGUAGCUGGUCUGAGAGGAUGAUCAGCCACAUUGGGACUGAGACACGGCCCAAACUCCUACGGGAGGCAGCAGUGGGGAAUAUUGGACAAUGGGCGCAAGCCUGAUCCAGCCAUGCCGCGUGAGUGAUGAAGGCCCUAGGGUUGUAAAGCUCUUUUGUGCGGGAAGAUAAUGACGGUACCGCAAGAAUAAGCCCCGGCUAACUUCGUGCCAGCAGCCGCGGUAAUACGAAGGGGGCUAGCGUUGCUCGGAAUCACUGGGCGUAAAGGGUGCGUAGGCGGGUCUUUAAGUCAGGGGUGAAAUCCUGGAGCUCAACUCCAGAACUGCCUUUGAUACUGAGGAUCUUGAGUUCGGGAGAGGUGAGUGGAACUGCGAGUGUAGAGGUGAAAUUCGUAGAUAUUCGCAAGAACACCAGUGGCGAAGGCGGCUCACUGGCCCGAUACUGACGCUGAGGCACGAAAGCGUGGGGAGCAAACAGGAUUAGAUACCCUAGUAGUCC
RNAcentral lists this ribosomal RNA (744 nucleotides) under uncultured bacterium. RNAcentral describes it as "bacterial SSU rRNA". It matches the Rfam family "Bacterial small subunit ribosomal RNA", at positions 8 to 796 of the family's 1533-position model. The record is from RNAcentral.